RNAcentral lists this ribosomal RNA (467 nucleotides) under uncultured bacterium. RNAcentral's name for it is "partial 16S ribosomal RNA". It matches the Rfam family "Bacterial small subunit ribosomal RNA", at positions 29 to 507 of the family's 1533-position model. The record is from RNAcentral.
ACGCACGCUGGCGGCGUGCUUAACACAUGCAAGUCGAACGGAAAGGCCCUGCUUUUGUGGGGUGCUCGAGUGGCGAACGGGUGAGUAACACGUGAGUAACCUGCCCUUGACUUUGGGAUAACUUCAGGAAACUGGGGCUAAUACCGGAUAGGAGCUCCUGCUGCAUGGUGGGGGCUGGAAAGUUUCGGCGGUUGGGGAUGGACUCGCGGCUUAUCAGCUUGUUGGUGGGGUAGUGGCUUACCAAGGCUUUGACGGGUAGCCGGCCUGAGAGGGUGACCGGCCACAUUGGGACUGAGAUACGGCCCAGACUCCUACGGGAGGCAGCAGUGGGGAAUAUUGCACAAUGGGCGGAAGCCUGAUGCAGCAACGCCGCGUGCGGGAUGACGGCCUUCGGGUUGUAAACCGCUUUCGCCUGUGACGAAGCGUGAGUGACGGUAAUGGGUAAAGAAGCACCGGCUAACUACGUG